UGGGGAAUAUUGCACAAUGGGCGGAAGCCUGAUGCAGCGACGUCGCGUGAGGGAUGGAGGCCUUCGGGUUGUGAACCUCUUUCGCCAGUGAGGAAGGCCUUGCCUGUGUGGUGGGGUUGACGGUAGCUGGGUUAAUUGAAGCGCCGGCUAACUACGUGCCAGCAGCCGCGGUAAUACGUAGGGCGCGAGCGUUGUCCGGAAUUAUUGGGCGUAAAGGGCUUGUAGGCGGUUGGUCGCGUCUGCCGUGAAAUCCUCUGGCUCAGCUGGGGGCGUGCGGUGGGUACGGGCUGGCUUGAGUGCGGUAGGGGAGGCUGGAACUCCUGGUGUAGCGGUGGAAUGCGCAGAUAUCAGGAGGAACACCGGUGGCGAAGGCGGGUCUCUGGGCCGUUACUGACGCUGAGGAGCGAAAGCGUGGGGAGCGAACA
This 425-nucleotide ribosomal RNA is filed under the name uncultured Actinomyces sp. RNAcentral describes it as "bacterial SSU rRNA". It matches the Rfam family "Bacterial small subunit ribosomal RNA", at positions 355 to 774 of the family's 1533-position model. The record is from RNAcentral. Lineage: Bacteria; Bacillati; Actinomycetota; Actinomycetes; Actinomycetales; Actinomycetaceae.